GUACACGCUGUGACUAGCAUAUCAAUAAGCGGAGGAAAAGAAACUAACAAGGAUUCCCCUAGUAACGGCGAGUGAAGCGGGAAGAGCUUAAAUUUGAAAUCUUAAAGGGUUUCCCUUUACGAAUUGUAGUUUAAAGAAGUGUUUUCUGUUGAGGUUUUGGUAAAAGUUCUUUGGAAUAGGACAUCAUAGAGGGUGAGAAUCCCGUAUUUGACCUUUACUUUCAACAUUGUGAUACACUUUCAAAGAGUCGGAUUGUUUGGGAAUGCAGUCCAAAAUGGGUGGUAAAUUUCAUCUAGAGCUAAAUAUUGGCGAGAGACCGAUAGCGAACAAGUACCGUGAGGGAAAGAUGAAAAGAACCUUGAAAAGAGAGUUAAACAGUACGUGAAAUUGUCAAAAGGGAAGCGUUUGACACCAGUGUUGUUUUUCUGAAAAUCAAUUAAAGAACUGUUUAUGCUAAGCUGUUUAGACUUUAUCAGCUAUCUGUUUAGUUUUGAGCUUUUCUUUAAUGCACUUUUCAGUUAACAAGUCAACAUCAAUUUCUUUUGCUGUAAAAAAGCUUGAGGAAGGUGGCUUGAGAUUCGUCUUAAGUGUUUAUAGCCUCUUGCCUAUGCAGUCGGAGAGAUGAGGUCUGCAGCGUAGAUCCUUCGGGGCUAAAUGCAUUUGUGCUAAGUUAUAGCAUUUUAUAGACAACUUGUUGACUAUGAUUUGUCUUGUAGCUUACUCGCUUAUGUUAUUUUACCUACGCUUAGGAUGUUGAUAUGCAUGACUGAUAU
RNAcentral lists this ribosomal RNA (773 nucleotides) under uncultured Neocallimastigales. RNAcentral describes it as "partial large subunit ribosomal RNA". It matches the Rfam family "Eukaryotic large subunit ribosomal RNA", at positions 22 to 636 of the family's 3401-position model. The record is from RNAcentral. Lineage: Eukaryota; Fungi; Neocallimastigomycota; Neocallimastigomycetes; Neocallimastigales.